ACGCGAAGAACCUUACCUGGGGCUCGAAAUGUAGUGGACCUGGGGUGGAAACAUCCCUUCCCGCAAGGGCUGCUAUAUAGGUGCUGCAUGGCUGUCGUCAGCUCGCGUCGUGGGAUGUUGGGUUAAGUCCCGCAACGAGCGCAACCCUUAUUGUCAGUUGCCAUCAUUAAGUUGGGCACUCUGGCGAAACCGCCUCGGAUAACGGGGAGGAAGGUGGGGAUGACGUCAAGUCCUCAUGGCCUUUAUGUCCAGGGCUACACACGUGCUACAAUGGUCGGUACAAACCGUCGCAAACCUGCGAAGGGGAGCUAAUCGGAAAAAGCCGACCUCAGUUCGGAUUGGAGUCUGCAACUCGACUCCAUGAAGCUGGAAUCGCUAGUAAUCGCGGAUCAGAACGCCGCGGUGAAUACGUUCCCGGGUCUUGUACACACCG
Molecule: ribosomal RNA, 433 nt
Filed under: uncultured bacterium
Lineage: Bacteria
Description: bacterial SSU rRNA
Rfam family: Bacterial small subunit ribosomal RNA
Source: RNAcentral